This 747-nucleotide ribosomal RNA is filed under the name uncultured bacterium. RNAcentral describes it as "bacterial SSU rRNA". It matches the Rfam family "Bacterial small subunit ribosomal RNA", at positions 28 to 776 of the family's 1533-position model. The record is from RNAcentral.
GAUGACCUCUGGCGGCGUGCUUAACACAUGCAAGUCGAACGGGAAACCUUUUAUUGAAGCUUCGGCAGAUUUAGAUUGUUUCUAGUGGCGGACGGGUGAGUAACGCGUGGGUAACCUGCCUUAUACGGGGGGAUAACAGUCAGAAAUGACUGCUAAUACCGCAUAAGCGCACAGGACCGCAUGGUCCGGUGUGAAAAACUCCGGUGGUAUAAGAUGGACCCGCGUUGGAUUAGCUAGUUGGUGAGGUAACGGCCCACCAAGGCGACGAUCCAUAGCCGGCCUGAGAGGGUGAACGGCCACAUUGGGACUGAGACACGGCCCAGACUCCUACGGGAGGCAGCAGUGGGGAAUAUUGCACAAUGGGGGAAACCCUGAUGCAGCGACGCCGCGUGUAGGAAGAAGUAUCUCGGUAUGUAAACUUCUAUCAGCAGGGAAGAAAAUGACGGUACCUGACUAAGAAGCCCCGGCUAACUACGUGCCAGCAGCCGCGGUAAUACGUAGGGGGCAAGCGUUAUCCGGAUUUACUGGGUGUAAAGGGAGCGUAGACGGAUGGACAAGUCUGAUGUGAAAGGCUGGGGCUCAACCCCGGGACUGCAUUGGAAACUGCCCGUCUUGAGUGCCGGAGAGGUAAGCGGAAUUCCUAGUGUAGCGGUGAAAUGCGUAGAUAUUAGGAGGAACACCAGUGGCGAAGGCGGCUUACUGGACGGUAACUGACGUUGAGGCUCGAAAGCGUGGGGAGCAAACAGG